Molecule: ribosomal RNA, 253 nt
Filed under: uncultured bacterium
Lineage: Bacteria
Description: partial 16S ribosomal RNA
Rfam family: Bacterial small subunit ribosomal RNA
Source: RNAcentral
UACGUAGGGUGCGAGCGUUAAUCGGAAUUACUGGGCGUAAAGCGUGCGCAGGCGGCUUUGUAAGUCAGAUGUGAAAUCCCCGAGCUCAACUUGGGAACUGCGUUUGAAACUACAAGGCUAGAAUAUGUCAGAGGGGGGUAGAAUUCCACGUGUAGCAGUGAAAUGCGUAGAGAUGUGGAGGAAUACCAAUGGCGAAGGCAGCCCCCUGGGAUAAUAUUGACGCUCAUGCACGAAAGCGUGGGGAGCAAACAGG